UGAAUCAGCAUGUGUGUUAGUGGAAGCGUCUGGAAAGGCGCGCGAUACAGGGUGACAGCCCCGUACACAAAAGCGCACAUGCUGUGAGCUCGAUGAGUAGGGCGGGACACGUGGUAUCCUGUCUGAAUAUGGGGGGACCAUCCUCCAAGGCUAAAUACUCCUGACUGACCGAUAGUGAACCAGUACCGUGAGGGAAAGGCGAAAAGAACCCCGGCGAGGGGAGUGAAAAAGAACCUGAAACCGUGUACGUACAAGCAGUGGGAGCACCCUUUGGGGUGUGACUGCGUACCUUUUGUAUAAUGGGUCAGCGACUUAUAUUCUGUAGCAAGGUUAACCGAAUAGGGGAGCCGGAGGGAAACCGAGUCUUAACCGGGCGUUAAGUUGCAGGGUAUAGACCCGAAACCCGGUGAUCUAGCCAUGGGCAGGUU
Molecule: ribosomal RNA, 428 nt
Filed under: Salmonella enterica subsp. enterica serovar Poona
Lineage: Bacteria; Pseudomonadati; Pseudomonadota; Gammaproteobacteria; Enterobacterales; Enterobacteriaceae
Description: partial 23S ribosomal RNA
Rfam family: Bacterial large subunit ribosomal RNA
Source: RNAcentral